RNAcentral lists this ribosomal RNA (441 nucleotides) under uncultured bacterium. RNAcentral describes it as "partial 16S ribosomal RNA". It matches the Rfam family "Bacterial small subunit ribosomal RNA", at positions 338 to 795 of the family's 1533-position model. The record is from RNAcentral.
CCUACGGUGUGCUGCAGUGGGGGAUAUUGCACAAUGGGGGGAACCCUGAUGCAGCGACGCCGCGUGGGUGAAGGAGCGUUUCGGCGCGUAAAGCCCUAUCGGCAGGGAAGAAGGAGGACGGUACCUGACUAAGAAGCACCGGCUAACUACGUGCCAGCAGCCGCGGUAAUACGUAGGGGGCAAGCGUUAUCCGGAUGUACUGGGUGUAAAGGGGGCGCAGACGGCAGCGCAAGCCAGGAGUGAAAGCCCGGUGCCCAACCCCGGGACGGCUCUUGGAACUGCGCGGCUGGUGUGCAGGAGGGGCAGGCGGAAUUCCUGGUGUAGCGGGGAAAUGCGUAGAUAUCAGGAGGAAAACCGGUGGCGAAGGCGGCCUGCUGGACUGCGACUGACGUUGAGGCCCGAAAGCGUGGGGAGUAAACAGGAUUAGAUACCCGAGUAGUC